This 253-nucleotide ribosomal RNA is filed under the name uncultured bacterium. Its description in RNAcentral is "partial 16S ribosomal RNA". It matches the Rfam family "Bacterial small subunit ribosomal RNA", at positions 524 to 776 of the family's 1533-position model. The record is from RNAcentral.
GACAGAGGGGGCAAGCGUUGCUCGGAAUCACUGGGCGUAAAGGGCGCGUAGGCGGGAUGGCAAGUCGGUCGUGAAAUCCUUCGGCUCAACCGAAGAACGUCGGCCGAUACUGCCGUUCUUGAGGGAUGCAGAGGAGAUUGGAAUUCCCGGUGUAGCGGUGAAAUGUGUAGAGAUCGGGAGGAACACCGGUGGCGAAGGCGGGUCUCUGGGACGUUACUGACGCUGAGACGCGAAAGCGUGGGGAGCAAACAGG